RNAcentral lists this ribosomal RNA (497 nucleotides) under uncultured bacterium. RNAcentral describes it as "partial 16S ribosomal RNA". It matches the Rfam family "Bacterial small subunit ribosomal RNA", at positions 28 to 507 of the family's 1533-position model. The record is from RNAcentral.
GAUGAACGCUGGCGGCGUGCCUAAUACAUGCAAGUCGAGCGAACAGACGAUGAGCUUGCGCCGCGCACGUGAGCCGCGCACGUGUGAGUAACACGUGUAUAACGUACCUAUAAUACUGAUAUAACUUCGGGAAACCGGAGCUAAUACCGGAGAAGAUAUUGAACCGCAGUGGUCAAUGGAGAAAUUCGGCGGUGGGGGCACGUAUAGAGGGAUACGCGCCGCAUUGGGUAGUUGGGAAGGUAACGGCUUACCAAGGCAACGAGGCGUAGCCGACCUGAGAGGGUGAUAGGCCACACUAGAAGUGGGACACGGUCCAGACUCCUACGGGAGGCAGCAGUAGGGAAUCUUACGCAAUGGGCGAAAGCCUGACGGAGCAACGCCGCGUGAGUGAUGAAGGUCUUCGGAUCGUAAAACUCUGUUAUUAGGGAAGAACAAAUGUGUAAGUAACUAUGCACGUCUUGACGGUAACUAAUCAGAAAGCAACGGCUAACUACGUG